UAACGCUACAGUAUAUGAAAAGUUGCCCAAAAUAUUUGGGCGGUUAACAUAAAAUUUUCAGAACUCUAAAACUCAAUUACUCUCCUCUCUCCUUUCGAAUUCUCUUUCCUCCAUACCUCCGCCCAAACGUUGUUUUUGUGAAUUUAUGGGUGUUUUCGUGCUCGUCGGAACAAACCCCGAUCUAUCACCGCCGCCUAAGCCCGUUGCUGCUUCCUUCUUCUCCCCUCAUACGGUCAUUCCUCGUUGCUCACUGCCUCGCCAGCCGGAAUCGACGCCUGGAGGCUACCAACGCCCAGCCACGAGGGUCGUGACGCCCAUCCCUUCCUCUCUUAGUGAUUGUUGCUUCCCUUGUUCGCCGAAUCGUCGGUGUCAAGUUUCCUGCACCCAAUCGACGAAAAUCCCAAACCCUUGUUUUCUCUUUCAUUCCACUCCCACUGCAAGCCUGGAAGGUGACUCCGCCGAUUCCACCGCCUCGUUGGCAAUUCUUACUCUGGCAAAAUCCUAAUCCCGCAGCCAUGGGUUAGUUUCUUUCUAUCUUCUCCAUUUUUGUAACCUUGCUUCUCUCUGCUAAUUUGACUUUAUGUAUCAAAUCUUUUGUAAUCUGAGGAAAUGGCGGGAUAACAGGGAAUUCAAUUAUGUAUCAAUGCUAAUGAGGAGGAAGCAUCCUGAUGCCUUGCGAUUCCGUCUUAAGGUCAGAUGUUGAGAGGUCAAUUCCUUUCCAUUGUCCUGUCAAUCUUCCUGACAAGGAAGUACCCUAGGCCUAAUGCAUCGACAAUUGGGAAGAUAUUUGCACAUUAUUGGCCUCGAACAGAGCUAAGUUUAUCUCGUCACCAAGUCUUAAGGACGGUCAAGCGGUUCGUUAAUGGCACAAAUGAUGAGUUCGAUAUGCUCAAUGAUCUGAAAGUAUUUUGGAUCUUAUUAUGUAUUAAAGGGUAGCAUUUUAGGUAUAUUAGGUUGGAUCCUAUUAUGUUUUAUUGGAUGUCAUAUUUAAAAAUUUGGAUCUUAUAUAUUUGUAUUUUACAGUAUAAUCGUAGACGUAUAUAUUUCAGUCUACAACAAUUUUCUAUUUUACAGUACUAUUGUAAACAUAUACAGUACAGUCUAAUAAUUAUAUUCGAUUUUAUAUAAUA
Spinacia oleracea (spinach) is the source of this 1130-nucleotide long non-coding RNA. RefSeq lists it as uncharacterized. The transcript is spliced from 5 exons. Lineage: Eukaryota; Viridiplantae; Streptophyta; Magnoliopsida; Caryophyllales; Amaranthaceae. The record is from RefSeq and is a predicted model, not a curated record.